Molecule: transfer RNA, 77 nt
Filed under: Caudoviricetes sp.
Lineage: Duplodnaviria; Heunggongvirae; Uroviricota; Caudoviricetes
Description: tRNA-Pro
Rfam family: tRNA
About the family: Transfer RNA (tRNA) molecules are approximately 80 nucleotides in length. Their secondary structure includes four short double-helical elements and three loops (D, anti-codon, and T loops). Further hydrogen bonds mediate the characteristic L-shaped molecular structure. tRNAs have two regions of fundamental functional importance: the anti-codon, which is responsible for specific mRNA codon recognition, and the 3' end, to which the tRNAs corresponding amino acid is attached (by aminoacyl-tRNA synthetases). tRNAs cope with the degeneracy of the genetic code in two manners: having more than one tRNA (with a specific anti-codon) for a particular amino acid; and 'wobble' base-pairing, i.e. permitting non-standard base-pairing at the 3rd anti-codon position.
Source: RNAcentral
CAGAGUGUAAUAUCAGUUGGUAGAUGGCCUGCCUUGGAAGCAGGAGGUCGUAGGUUCGAGUCCUACCACUCUGACCA